GACGAACGCUGGCGGCGUGCCUAAUACAUGCAAGUCGAGCGGACAGAUGGGAGCUUGCUCCCUGAUGUUAGCGGCGGACGGGUGAGUAACACGUGGGUAACCUGCCUGUAAGACUGGGAUAACUCCGGGAAACCGGGGCUAAUACCGGAUGGUUGUUUGAACCGCAUGGUUCAAACAUAAAAGGUGGCUUCGGCUACCACUUACAGAUGGACCCGCGGCGCAUUAGCUAGUUGGUGAGGUAACGGCUCACCAAGGCAACGAUGCGUAGCCGACCUGAGAGGGUGAUCGGCCACACUGGGACUGAGACACGGCCCAGACUCCUACGGGAGGCAGCAGUAGGGAAUCUUCCGCAAUGGACGAAAGUCUGACGGAGCAACGCCGCGUGAGUGAUGAAGGUUUUCGGAUCGUAAAGCUCUGUUGUUAGGGAAGAACAAGUACCGUUCGAAUAGGGCGGUACCUUGACGGUACCUAACCAGAAAGCCACGGCUAACUACGUGCCAGCAGCCGCGGUAAUACGUAGGUGGCAAGCGUUGUCCGGAAUUAUUGGGCGUAAAGGGCUCGCAGGCGGUUUCUUAAGUCUGAUGUGAAAGCCCCCGGCUCAACCGGGGAGGGUCAUUGGAAACUGGGGAACUUGAGUGCAGAAGAGGAGAGUGGAAUUCCACGUGUAGCGGUGAAAUGCGUAGAGAUGUGGAGGAACACCAGUGGCGAAGGCGACUCUCUGGUCUGUAACUGACGCUGAGGAGCGAAAGCGUGGGGAGCGAACAGGAUUAUAUACCCUGGUAGUCCACGCCGUAAACGAUGAGUGCUAAGUGUUAGGGGGUUUCCGCCCCUUAGUGCUGCAGCUAACGCAUUAAGCACUCCGCCUGGGGAGUACGGUCGCAAGACUGAAACUCAAAGGAAUUGACGGGGGCCCGCACAACCGGUGGAGCAUGUGUUUUAUUUCAAAGCAACGCCAAGAACCUUACCAGGGCUUGACAUCCUCUGACAAUCCUAAGAGAUAGGACGUCCCCUUCCGGGGCAGAGUGACAGGUGGUGCAUGGUUGUCGUCAGCUCGUGUCGUGAGAUGUUGGGUUAAGUCCCGCAACGAGCGCAACCCUUGAUCUUAGUUGCCAGCAUUCAGUUGGGCACUCUAAGGUGACUGCCGGUGACAAACCGGAGGAAGGUGGGGAUGACGUCAAAUCAUCAUGCCCCUUAUGACCUGGGCUACACACGUGCUACAAUGGACAGAACAAAGGGCAGCGAAACCGCGAGGUUAAACCAAUCCCACAAAUCUGUUCUCAGUUCGGAUCGCAGUCUGCAACUCGACUGCGUGAAGCUGGAAUCGCUAGUAAUCGCGGAUCAGCAUGCCGCGGUGAAUACGUUCCCGGGCCUUGUACACACCGCCCGUCACACCACGAGAGUUUGUAACACCCGAAGUCGGUGAGGUAACCUUUUAGGAGCCAGCCGCCGAAGGUGGGACAGAUGAUUGGGG
This 1471-nucleotide ribosomal RNA is filed under the name Bacillus subtilis. RNAcentral's name for it is "bacterial SSU rRNA". It matches the Rfam family "Bacterial small subunit ribosomal RNA". The record is from RNAcentral. Lineage: Bacteria; Bacillati; Bacillota; Bacilli; Caryophanales; Bacillaceae.